Molecule: ribosomal RNA, 478 nt
Filed under: uncultured bacterium
Lineage: Bacteria
Description: partial 16S ribosomal RNA
Rfam family: Bacterial small subunit ribosomal RNA
Source: RNAcentral
GACGAACGCUGGCGGCGUGCUUAACACAUGCAAGUCGAACGGUAAGGCCCUUCGGGGUACACGAGUGGCGAACGGGUGAGUAACACGUGGGUGAUCUGCCCUGCACUUCGGGAUAAGUCUGGGAAACUGGGUCUAAUACCGGAUAGGACCACUGCCUGCAUGGGUGGUGGUGGAAAGCUUUUGCGGUGUGGGAUGGGCCCGCGGCCUAUCAGCUUGUUGGUGGGGUGAUUGCCUACCAAGGCGACGACGGGUAGCCGGCCUGAGAGGGUGACCGGCCACACUGGGACUGAGAUACGGCCCAGACUCCUACGGGGGGCAGCAGGGGGGAAUAUUGCACAAUGGGCGCAAGCCUGAUGCAGCGACGCCGCGUGAGGGAUGACGGCCUUCGGGUUGUAAACCUCUUUCAGCACCGACGAAGCGCAAGUGACGGUAGGUGCAGAAGAAGGACCGGCCAACUACGUGCCAGCCGCCGCCGUAA